RNAcentral lists this ribosomal RNA (457 nucleotides) under uncultured bacterium. Its description in RNAcentral is "partial 16S ribosomal RNA". It matches the Rfam family "Bacterial small subunit ribosomal RNA", at positions 338 to 795 of the family's 1533-position model. The record is from RNAcentral.
CCUACGGGGGGCAGCAGUGGGGAAUAUUGCACAAUGGGGGAAACCCUGAUGCAGCGACGCCGCGUGAGUGAAGAAGUAUUUCGGUACGUAAAGCUCUAUCAGCAGGGAAGAAAAAAAGUCCUUUGGACUUUGGACGGUACCUGACUAAGAAGCCCCGGCUAACUACGUGCCAGCAGCCGCGGUAAUACGUAGGGGGCAAGCGUUAUCCGGAUUUACUGGGUGUAAAGGGAGCGUAGACGGCAGCGCAAGUCUGGAGUGAAAUGCCGGGGCCCAACCCCGGAACUGCUUUGGAAACUGUGCAACUGGAGUGCAGGAGAGGUAAGCGGAAUUCCAAGUGUAGCGGUGAAAUGCGUAGAUAUUAGGAGGAACACCAGUGGCGAAAGCGGCUUCCUGGACUGUAACUGACGUUGAGGCUCGAAAGCGUGGGGAGCAAACAGGAUUAGAUACCCGUGUAGUC